UGAAUUUGUUUAUGGCAUUUUGAUGCAUGUUAUAACAACUUAUGUCCUCUGUUUGGGACAAAUCAAAUAAAUGCCAUUUAUAUAACUACAUAUGGAGUUUGAAUUUGAACCUUUGGUUCAAACCAACUUCGUUUAAUGUUGUUGCUAGAUGCAUUAGCUUCACCAUCAUAUUGCCAUGACAUGCUAAUGCAUCAUAGUGUUGCAUUUCCGCGAAGUAAAUGUUGUUCUUUUCCUGUUUGCCGGUGUUGUUCCCUCUCGGUAGACGAUGGUUCCGACGUUGUGAUCAUUGACACUAAUGAAGAAAAGUGUUAUCUUCAGAACUGUUAGGCAAGCAA
Molecule: long non-coding RNA, 335 nt
Filed under: Hordeum vulgare
Lineage: Eukaryota; Viridiplantae; Streptophyta; Magnoliopsida; Poales; Poaceae
Description: long non-coding RNA (HVUL_LNC020988)
Source: RNAcentral